Molecule: ribosomal RNA, 407 nt
Filed under: uncultured bacterium
Lineage: Bacteria
Description: partial 16S ribosomal RNA
Rfam family: Bacterial small subunit ribosomal RNA
Source: RNAcentral
AUUGAACGCUAGCGGGAGGCCUUACACAUGCAAGUCGAACGGAGUGGCGAACGGGUGAGUAAUGUAUCUGAACGUGCCCAGUAGCGGGGGAUAACUACGCGAAAGCGUAGCUAAUACCGCAUACUAUUGGAGCGGCCGAUGUCGGAUUAGCUAGUUGGUGGGGUAACGGCUAACCAAGGCGACGAUCCGUAGCUGGUUUGAGAGGACGACCAGCCACACUGGGACUGAGACACGGCCCAGACUCCUACGGGAGGCAGCAGUGGGGAAUUUUGGGCAAUGGGGGAAACCCUGAUCCAGCCAUGCCGCGUGUGUGAUGAAGGCCUUCGGGUUGUAAAGCACUUUUGGCAGGGAAGCGGUACCUACAGAAUAAGCACCGGCUAACUACGUGCCAGCAGCCGCGGUAAUUC